GUGCGACCGGCUGAGCUCUGGGGCCACGGUGGGGUGUGUCCAGCCCUGGGGUCCCCACCCCCUUGAGGUUAUGAGCGCCCAUAGGGAAGAUGUUGCCACUGUACGCAGUUGGGAGAAGAAGGACCUGGCACAUGAGGAAGCCAAGUAGUUGGAUCAGCCCUGUAAGCUCCUGGCACUGACUGCCCUGCAGGGGCGACAACCCCGUGCACCCACACUGGGGCCCUCACGAGGCUCCAAGAAAAUGGCUCAAGGGAGCAGACAGGGUGGUUUGACCCCAGAGUUAAGAACACAGGUUCAGCCAAUUUACUUGACCCUGAGCUGGUGUGACCCACUUCUUAGGGCCUCAGAUCCUCAGUUGUAAAAUGGGCAUACCGCUGGCCCUGGCCCUCACUGGGGUGGCAGGGGGCAUCCGGUGAUUCACUCCAUGACAAGAGCCUUGCUCAUAAACAGAGGCUAUUAGAGAGCCACAGACACCCUGACCCCCAGAGGCCCAGAAAGGCUGGAUUCACACUCAGAAGUGAGGCCUUCCCUGGGUGACCCACACACAGCAGGGUCUG
This 557-nucleotide long non-coding RNA is filed under the name Homo sapiens (human). Its description in RNAcentral is "HHATL antisense RNA 1". Lineage: Eukaryota; Metazoa; Chordata; Mammalia; Primates; Hominidae. The record is from RNAcentral.